UGAACGCUGGCGGCGUGCCUAAUACAUGCAAGUCGAACGCUGGAGAUCUAGCUUGCUAGAUCGAAGGAGUGGCGAACGGGUGAGUAAUACAUAAGCAACCUACCCACGAAGACUGGGAUAAUCUCUGGAAACGGGGACUAAUACCGGAUAGGUAAUCGGAAGGCAUCUUCUGGUUAUUAAAGGUUAAAAACACUGGUGGAUGGGCUUAUGGCGCAUUAGUUAGUUGGUGAGGUAACGGCCCACCAAGACGAUGAUGCGUAGCCGGCCUGAGAGGGUGAACGGCCACAUUGGGACUGAGACACGGCCCAGACUCCUACGGGAGGCAGCAGUAGGGAAUUUUCAGCAAUGGGGGCAACCCUGACCGAGCAACGCCGCGUGAGUGAAGACGGCCUUCGGGUUGUAAAGCUCUGUUGUAAGGGAAGAACGGUAGAUAGAGAAUAUCUAAGUGACGGUACCUUACCAGAAAGCCACGGCUAACUACGUG
RNAcentral lists this ribosomal RNA (484 nucleotides) under uncultured bacterium. RNAcentral's name for it is "partial 16S ribosomal RNA". It matches the Rfam family "Bacterial small subunit ribosomal RNA", at positions 30 to 507 of the family's 1533-position model. The record is from RNAcentral.